This 413-nucleotide unclassified non-coding RNA is filed under the name soil metagenome. RNAcentral's name for it is "partial contains 5.8S ribosomal RNA, internal transcribed spacer 2, and large subunit ribosomal RNA". The stretch from base 1 to 120 matches the Rfam family "5.8S ribosomal RNA", at positions 35 to 154 of the family's 154-position model. The record is from RNAcentral.
GAUGAAGAACGCAGCGAAAUGCGAUAAGUAAUGUGAAUUGCAGAAUUCAGUGAAUCAUCGAAUCUUUGAACGCACCUUGCGCUCUUUGGUAUUCCGAAGAGCAUGCCUGUUUGAGUGUCAUGAAAAUAUCAACCUUGACUUGGGUUUUGUGCUCUAGUCUCGGCUUGGAAUUGGGUGCUUGCCGCUUUUACGAGCGGCUCACCUUAAAUGUAUUAGCUGGAUCUGUCUUUGAGACUUGGUUUGACUUGGCGUAAUAAGUAUUUCGCUAAGGACAUUCUUCGGAGUGGCCUCGUUUCUAGGACGCUUGUCCGCUUUCCAAUACAAGUUCCACCUCGUGGACAUGACUUUUUAUUAUCUGGCCUCAAAUCAGGUCGGACUACCCGCUGAACUUAAGCAUAUCAAUAAGCGGAGGA